CUAACGGUUUUCUGAGGGAGUUGGAAAGAGAUAAGAGAGAGACCUUGGGGAACAAUUUUAAAGUGGCUCAAUAGCGAUCGCAGAGCCAAACUCAUACCUACAUCAAUGUGGUGCAGAGAAUCUCUAAGAAUUUUUAAUGCUGAAUUGGAGCAAAGAAACUUCAAGGAGGAAGCAAAGUGAAGAACACAGAUUUCACAGAUGGGAUGCCUGGCUCAAAUUCCAGCUUGACCGCUGGUAGCUGUGUGACCCUCGGCAAGUUACUUGACCUCUCUCUACUCAGUGUCCUCAUCUGUCAGAUUUUGGUAUCUGACUGAUGCUGUCUUCGUGGAAUGAGUUAGGAAAGAGUCCCUCCUCGUCAACUGUUGGGAAUACAUUCAGCAGGGUUGGUAUCAUUGCAUGUCUGGCAGAAUUUGACUAGGAAUCCAUCUGGUCCAGGAUUUUUUUUGUUGGUGUAAUGAGAUUCACUGAAGAAUUCUCAGAGUGGAAUGAGCAACAGAUUUUCAUUAGCGAAAGCUCCUCUAGCUGCUGCAUGAAAUGAUGUCUAGACAGAGGGAGGGGCCAAGAUGGCUGAAUAGGAACAGCUCCAAUCUGCAGCUCCAAGCAAGACGAAUGCAGAAGAUAGCAGAUUGUAUUCCCAUCUCUUCAGAUAGAGAGUUCUUGGAGAAAUUUAAAAUAUGCAGUUUAGAAUCUGUAAUGGCCCCGGUUAGUGCAUACCCGACUUACUGGCCUUCCAAGUAGGCUCCUGGUAAAAAGAAAUGCGUAAAUGGCGACAGUAGAGCCAGCCUUCAUGAAUCCAGAAAUGUGAGCCACAUUUUGAGGAUAGCAGAGUCACUGCAGAAGCCUGGAUCCUUGCAUAACCUUGUCGAGUGGGAAAAUCUACCCAUACUUGACCAACCACCUAACUGGGGGCUCUACAUCUGAGAGAAAUGAUUUUUUAUCUUAUUUAAGCCACUGUAGUUAGGAGUCAGUUUAUUACAGGACAUUGCCUGGUGUUCCAACAAAUAAACUACCUUAUUUGUUUCAAUAAAUAAA
This is a long non-coding RNA of Homo sapiens (human), 1032 nucleotides long. Ensembl annotates it as HAS2 antisense RNA 1. Its record names the gene HAS2-AS1. The record is from Ensembl. NCBI's taxonomy places the organism in Eukaryota, Metazoa, Chordata, Mammalia, Primates, Hominidae.